AUACGAAAGGUGCAAGCGUUGUUCGGAUUUACUGGGCGUAAAGAGAGUGUAGGUGGUUUAUUAAGUCGGAUGUGAAAUCCCGGGGCUCAACCUCGGAACUGCAUUCGAUACUGAUAGGCUAGAGUUUGGGAGGGGUAAGCGGAAUUCCGUGUGUAGCAGUGAAAUGCGUAGAUAUACGGAGGAACACCUGAGGCGAAGGCGGCUUACUGGACCAAUACUGACACUGAGACUCGAAAGCGUGGGUAGCAAACAGAAUUAGAAACCCUAGUAGUCC
This 274-nucleotide ribosomal RNA is filed under the name uncultured bacterium. Its description in RNAcentral is "partial 16S ribosomal RNA". It matches the Rfam family "Bacterial small subunit ribosomal RNA", at positions 523 to 796 of the family's 1533-position model. The record is from RNAcentral.